CUAUAAUGCAGUCGAGCGAACAGAUAAGGAGCUUGCUCCUUUGACGUUAGCGGCGGACGGGUGAGUAACACGUGGGUAACCUACCUAUAAGACUGGGAUAACUUCGGGAAACCGGAGCUAAUACCGGAUAAUAUUUCGAACCGCAUGGUUCGAUAGUGAAAGAUGGUUUUGCUAUCACUUAUAGAUGGACCCGCGCCGUAUUAGCUAGUUGGUAAGGUAACGGCUUACCAAGGCGACGAUACGUAGCCGACCUGAGAGGGUGAUCGGCCACACUGGAACUGAGACACGGUCCAGACUCCUACGGGAGGCAGCAGUAGGGAAUCUUCCGCAAUGGGCGAAAGCCUGACGGAGCAACGCCGCGUGAGUGAUGAAGGUCUUCGGAUCGUAAAACUCUGUUAUUAGGGAAGAACAUACGUGUAAGUAACUGUGCACGUCUUGACGGUACCUAAUCAGAAAGCCACGGCUAACUACGUGCCAGCAGCCGCGGUAAUACGUAGGUGGCAAGCGUUAUCCGGAAUUAUUGGGCGUAAAGCGCGCGUAGGCGGUUUUUUAAGUCUGAUGUGAAAGCCCACGGCUCAACCGUGGAGGGUCAUUGGAAACUGGAAAACUUGAGUGCAGAAGAGGAAAGUGGAAUUCCAUGUGUAGCGGUGAAAUGCGCAGAGAUAUGGAGGAACACCAGUGGCGAAGGCGACUUUCUGGUCUGUAACUGACGCUGAUGUGCGAAAGCGUGCGGAUCAAACAGGAUUAGAUACCCUGGUAGUCCACGCCGUAAACGAUGAGUGCUAAGUGUUAGGGGGUUUCCGCCCCUUAGUGCUGCAGCUAACGCAUUAAGCACUCCGCCU
Molecule: ribosomal RNA, 842 nt
Filed under: Staphylococcus sp. B36-PCA-PT2P21
Lineage: Bacteria; Bacillati; Bacillota; Bacilli; Caryophanales; Staphylococcaceae
Description: bacterial SSU rRNA
Rfam family: Bacterial small subunit ribosomal RNA
Source: RNAcentral